GAUGAACGCUGGCGGCGUGCCUAACACAUGCAAGUCGAGCGAACGGACGAGAAGCUUGCUUCUCUGAUGUUAGCGGCGGACGGGAGAGUAACUCGUGGACAACCUACCUAUAAGACAGGGAUAACUUCGGGAAACCGUAGCUAAGACCGGAUAAUAUUUUGAACCGCAAGGUUCAAACGUGAAAGUCGGUCUUGCUGUCACUUAUUGAUGGACCCGCGCUGCAUUCGCUAGUUGGUAAGGUAACGGCUUACCAAGGCAACGAUGCAUAGCCGACCUGAGAGGGUCGUCCGCUACCCUGUAUGUGAGGCUCGUUCCCGACUCCUGCAGUGGGCAGCAGUAGGGAAUCUUCCGCGAGGGACGAGUGCCUAACGUAGCGACGCCGCGUGAAUGAUGAAGGUCUUCUGAUCGUAGAACUCUGUUAUUAUGAAAGUUCAUAUGUGUUAGUACCUGUGCACAUCUUGACGGUACCUGGUCAGAAAGCCCCGGCUAACUUCGUG
This 497-nucleotide ribosomal RNA is filed under the name uncultured bacterium. Its description in RNAcentral is "partial 16S ribosomal RNA". It matches the Rfam family "Bacterial small subunit ribosomal RNA", at positions 28 to 507 of the family's 1533-position model. The record is from RNAcentral.